CCUACGGGAGGCAGCAGUGGGGAAUAUUGGACAAUGGGGGCAACCCUGAUCCAGCCAUGCCGCGUGUGUGAAGAAGGCCCUCGGGUUGUAAAGCACUUUCAGUGAGGAAGAACGCCUGGUGGUUAAUACCCAUCAGGAAAGACAUCACUCACAGAAGAAGCACCUGCUAACUCCGUGCCAGCAGCCGCGGUAAUACGGAGGGUGCGAGCGUUAAUCGGAAUUACUGGGCGUAAAGCGCGCGUAGGUGGCUUGAUAAGCCGGUUGUGAAAGCCCCGGGCUCAACCUGGGAACGGCAUCCGGAACUGUCAAGCUAGAGUGCAGGAGAGGAAGGUAGAAUUCCCGGUGUAGCGGUGAAAUGCGUAGAGAUCGGGAGGAAUACCAGUGGCGAAGGCGGCCUUCUGGACUGACACUGACACUGAGGUGCGAAAGCGUGGGUAGCAAACAGGAUUAGAUACCCGGGUAGUC
This 465-nucleotide ribosomal RNA is filed under the name Vreelandella stevensii. RNAcentral describes it as "partial 16S ribosomal RNA". It matches the Rfam family "Bacterial small subunit ribosomal RNA", at positions 338 to 795 of the family's 1533-position model. The record is from RNAcentral. Lineage: Bacteria; Pseudomonadati; Pseudomonadota; Gammaproteobacteria; Oceanospirillales; Halomonadaceae.